GAAGGCAAGCGGAUCUCUUAAAGCUGUUCUCAGUUCGGACUGCAGUCUGCAACUCGACUGCACGAAGCUGGAAUCGCUAGUAAUCGCGGAUCAGCACGCCGCGGUGAAUACGUUCCCGGGCCUUGUACACACCGCCCGUCACACCAUGGAAGUCUGCAAUGCCCGAAGCCGGUGGCCUAACCACUUAUGGUGGAAGGAGCCGUCUAAGGCAGGGCAGAUGACUGGGGUGAAGUCGUAACAAGGUAGC
RNAcentral lists this ribosomal RNA (247 nucleotides) under uncultured bacterium. RNAcentral describes it as "partial 16S ribosomal RNA". It matches the Rfam family "Bacterial small subunit ribosomal RNA", at positions 1259 to 1500 of the family's 1533-position model. The record is from RNAcentral.